GGGCGCUUAGCUCAGCGGUAGAGCGCUCGCCUUACACGCGAUCGGUCACAGGUUCGAAUCCUGUAGCGCCCA
Molecule: transfer RNA, 72 nt
Filed under: Tuwongella immobilis
Lineage: Bacteria; Pseudomonadati; Planctomycetota; Planctomycetia; Gemmatales; Gemmataceae
Description: Planctomycetes bacterium MBLW1 tRNA
Rfam family: tRNA
About the family: Transfer RNA (tRNA) molecules are approximately 80 nucleotides in length. Their secondary structure includes four short double-helical elements and three loops (D, anti-codon, and T loops).
Source: Rfam by way of RNAcentral